This 461-nucleotide ribosomal RNA is filed under the name uncultured bacterium. RNAcentral's name for it is "bacterial SSU rRNA". It matches the Rfam family "Bacterial small subunit ribosomal RNA", at positions 29 to 524 of the family's 1533-position model. The record is from RNAcentral.
AAUGAACGUUGGCGGCAUGGAUUAGGCAUGCAAGUCGAGCGAGAAGUCUUUUUUGCUUGCAUUAAAGAUGGACAGCGGCGAAAGGAGAGUAACGCGUAGAAAUGUACCCCGAGGUCUGGGAUAGCUGCGGGAAACUGCAGGUAAUACCGGAUGAUGUCCCCGGACAAAGUUUUUCGCCUUGGGAGCAGUCUGCGUAUUAUUAGCUUGUGUGGGUAAAGCCUACCAAGGCUUAGAUGAUUAGCGGGCGUGAGAGCGUGGCCCGUCUCACUGGGACUGAGACACUGCCCAGACAUCUACGGAUGGCUGCAGUCGAGAAUCUUCCGCAAUGGGCGAAAGCCUGACGGAGCAAUGCCGCGUGGUGGAUGAAGGCCCUCGGGUUGUAAACACCUGUCAGUAGGAGGAAAUUUUGACCGAUCUACAGAGGAAGUCCGGGCUAAGUACGUGCCAGCAGCCGCGGUAAU